UACGUAGGUGGCAAGCGUUGUCCGGAUUUACUGGGCGUAAAGAGCGUGUAGGCGGUCCGGUAAGUCCGCUGUGAAAGUCGGGGGGCUCAACCCUCGAAUGCCGGUGGAUACUGUCGGGCUAGAGUGCGGAAGAGGCGAGUGGAAUUCCUGGUGUAGCGGUGAAAUGCGCAGAUAUCAGGAGGAACACCUAUUGCGAAGGCAGCUCGCUGGGACGUAACUGACGCUGAGACGCGAAAGCGUGGGGAGCAAACAGG
RNAcentral lists this ribosomal RNA (254 nucleotides) under uncultured bacterium. Its description in RNAcentral is "partial 16S ribosomal RNA". It matches the Rfam family "Bacterial small subunit ribosomal RNA", at positions 524 to 776 of the family's 1533-position model. The record is from RNAcentral.